This is a long non-coding RNA of Grus americana (Whooping crane), 10605 nucleotides long. RefSeq lists it as uncharacterized. Lineage: Eukaryota; Metazoa; Chordata; Aves; Gruiformes; Gruidae. The record is from RefSeq and is a predicted model, not a curated record. The transcript is spliced from 2 exons.
UACAAUACACCUAGAAAUAUAUUUUUAAAAUGAAUUUACCAAAAAUGCAGCAGUUUAUGCUUAACAAUAUGACCCAUGAUGAAAUGUUUCUAAAAGGAGACUCCACAACUGCACUGAGCCCGUUUAUCCAAAACUAUCUUUGCCAAAUCAUAGGGUCUGAACGUACUCUACAAUUAAUGACCUAAUUUGUAGCACUGCAGACUCUUGACCAGCAAUAAUCUUACUUAGAGUCAAGUCUCCUAAGAAGGAUGACAGCAGGAGGUAUUUUGACAGAGUGCCAAAACAAUACUGCAAAGUCUUCAGAAGUUUUAAUUUUAUGAUGAUGAGAUCUACCAUAUCAGAUAAAAUGGUCUGAUCCCAUGAACACUGCUAAGAAAAUAAUAUGGAGAUGAUCAAGGCCAGAUCUUGCAAUGAAUAAAUGAUCACAAGAAGUAAUCAAACAAAUUGCAGAUGUCAUCAUUCCCUAUUGAGCACUGAGAAGCAUCUUGGAAAUAGGAGACUGCCAGAUUUCAAUGCUUGAGUUUACUUUUCAGAAAUUCUUUGCUUUUUCAUUUUGUUGGAGAUGAUGGGUUUUUUUGUUGUAUUGGGUUUUUUCCUCCAAACAGUCACUGACACAGCAUUACUGCCAUCAACUACUGAGCUGGCAAGCAUUACUGAAUACUAUAAUUUCUAAUGGCAGUCUUUGCUGUUUCCAUCCCAGACUAGGUCAGAAAAAAACAAUGGCCUGGAAUCCUACUUAAGUAAUUUAUUUUGGAUCUCAGGAUUGAUGGUUAUUUGUCAGAUUAGCUCAUAAACUAGCUCUAAACAUUGUUUUUCUAACUGUAUAAUAUACAUGUUUAAUAUUUGUAUGAUAAAGGGGCAGCAUAAGGAUAAAUAAAGUAGCAAAUUAAAUUUGGUUAAGCCAUCUGUUCUUUUUAGUGUCUGAUUACAAGCCAACAGCACAUCAGUUGGCCAUGGCUAAGGAAACUUUGGCCUUCACUUAACACUGAGUGCACAGGUUAGUGUUAACUAUAUCUUUGAAAAGAUUAAGAAGGAAGUUUUAAUUUUUUUAAUCAAGAAGGUAACAAAACCAGCUGAAUCUCAAAAUGAGAGUGUGUAGUAAUUUCCUUCAGGACAUGUAUUUUAUCUUAUACUUAAAGUGAGCGCAGCUGAAAAAAAGUGUCAGCUAUUGGAAUUUUGUUGCAGUUGUUUGCUUUUCUGAUGAUUAAAAGUAAAGCCUUCAAUGAUGUUGUCACUCAGAAUGGAUAUUCCUUGUAUUUAGUGACAUGAACCGUAAAUAGUUUUGAUGCUAAUAAUGGCUGUAUUCCAGCCAAAAUCAAUUUUUGUAGUAAUUUCUUAUUUGAGUUUUAGGAAUAGACAUACUCUAGUACUCCAUUUGAAAAGCUUAUGAAGGCUAACUGCAGAGUGAUAAAAGGAAAAAAUACGCAUCAAGGUUAGCAUUUCAGAAGCAUCCUUUAUACUGUGAAGACUUUCAUCCCAUUUGUUAUCAAACUGAGUCCAAAAGUCUGAGGAUAAAUAAUGUGUUUUUUUUCUAGGAGUUUCAGUAGAUACAGAUUUCCUGAAUCAGUUUCUUGAGCUGUAUUUUAAAACGUCUGCUAUCUUCUAGUCACAAAAUAUUGUCAGUUCUUAUAAUCCUUGAUUGACAAAUUUAUCCUCUUAAUAUUGUUUGAUAUUUUUUACAUUCCAAAAGGUCAGUGAAAAACUCUUCAAUGCCCAAAUCUUAACACUUCUUAUGUAUGUAAUAUAGCAAAAUCCUACUGUGUGCCCCAGACCAGCCACGUGUGUUUGAAAUAUCAUAGAAUCAUAGAAUGGUUUGGGUUGGAAGGGACCUUAAAGAUCAUCUAGUUCCAACCCCCCUGCUGCGGGCAGGGACACCCUCCACUAGACCACGUUGCCCAAAGCCUCAUCCAACCUGGCCUUGAACACUUCCAGGGAUGGGGCAUCCACAACCUCUCUGGGCAACCUGUUCCAGUGCCUCACCACUCUCACAGUAAAGAAUUUCUUUCUAACAUCUAAUCUAAAUCUACUCUCCUUCAGCUUGAACCCAUUCCCCCUUGUCCUGUCACUACACUCCCUCACCAGCUUUCCUGUAGGCCCCUUCAGGUAUUGGAAGGCCGCAAUUAGAUCUCCCCAGAGCCUUCUCUUCUCCAGGCUGAACAAUCCCAACUCUCUCAGCCUGUCCUCAUAGGAGAGGUGGUCCAGGCCUCUGAUCAGCUGAGGACCCUCUUAUCAUCAUGUAUUUGUUAAGGUGUGUUAAUAUGUGCUAACCUUAGUUUUGAAGAAUAAUACUAUUGAAUAUAUUCUGAAGACCUUUGAGGGUACUUUGAAGAGGCCAGGAUCAGCAGAAUCUGCUAUCCAGCAUAUGCUCCAAGCUUUGUUGGUACUUUCUGGGUAUUUAUAUAUUAUUAAUAUGGCAUCUUUUGAUUCAUCAAAGGCUUUUUCAACUUCAGUGCCCCUGGACAUGCUUAUAUCGUACUGUUUUGGUAGCUAUGUGUAGUUACCUUUGUAUUUUUUUUGUUUUACAUUUGCAGAUGCUAUUUAACAUGUGAACAGGAACUAGAUAAGGAGAGGAAAUUGUGGGAGUGAUGCAAUCUCGGAUAUGGAGCAAAAAAAGGGUCAGUGGAUUUUUGCCAAGCUAUCAUCUCCUGUGAAAUAGGUAUCAUAUUUUUACCAUUGAUCUCUAGUAGUCGGGAUUAAGACUGAAUGACUGAAUGUAUUGCAGCUUCAUUAUAUGAUCAAUGCAUGGAUUGCUUAGCGUUUAGAAAGUAUUUUAUAACCCUAGCUAGAAGAUGUUGUAUAUACCAUACGCAUUCAGAUUCUUAUUUGCUUGAAAAAAGCAUGCAAUAUACUAAAACAGAAGCAGUGAAUAAAGGUAUUGGCAGUGCCAGAAUUCCCAGAAGCCAAACACCAAGAAUCUGUUUAGUGCCAAACAGAAAAAAAGUUAUUUAAAGAAGCAGUGAGAAGGACUGACCUCACACCCAUUGGUUAUGGACAUCAUCUGCUUGAUGAGCUUUUUUUCAUGUACAAGUGUGGUGGGUUCUUAUAUUCAAGCCUGUUCCAUGGCAUCUGUAAGGUUGGCAGGGUCAUGGCGGGACUCAGUGACAGCUCAAAGGUAGAAAAAAGCAUCAGGUCCUUCCCCUUACAAUUUUUAAGACACUGAGAUCAGCAUGUGGCUUGUAGUGAGAGAUCUUGCCUAUAGUGAAAAGUUCAGAAUCUAAAAAAGCACACGAGUAACUAGACGCUCAGUACUCUUACUAAUAGAAGACAUUUGAAACUUUCAGCUCUCAUCUUCUUGCAGUAUCUGAUGGGUAUAGGAGUUUCUCUUCUGGUGCAGAUCAGCACAACAUUUACACCUACAUAACGUCUCCAGCAAUGCCAGAACCAGAUGCUGCUGAGGCAGUGCUAGAAUUAUUCUCUAAUGAGACACAGGAGUAUCCGCCCACUGUUAAGGCCUCUCCAGGAUAUCUAACACGGGUUGUUAGCACGUUGUCUUCCUCAGUAUUCCCCUAGUUCCCAUUUUGGGCUCUGCAGGGGAUGGAGGUAAAUCAGGCUGUCAGUGUGCAAUAAUCCACCUCCAGUUUUAACAGAAGGAUUUAGACAGAUAGAUGAAUCUCCAUUUCAUCCAGCUAAAUAUGAUCCAGAUAGUGAUGCUAUAUUGGAGUUAGCACAGCAGGAUCACCAUGAGUGGGAGUAAAGACAGAUGAUAGAUAAUAGGAAAGUCCAGGAUGCAUAAAAAAACAUCAGCAAGAAAGGUUCGUGGACUGAGCAGUUGAUUCAACACUUUGGCCUAACGGAAAUUUCUUUUUACAGAUUGCUGCGUAGUUUACUGUUCUGUAUUGCUUUUUGUGUGUGUUGGCCUUCGUGGAUGAUGUAAAUCAUUAACAUUAUCCUUCUCCUGUAAAACGUGUUUUUCACCUGUAGACUUGAUAAAGUUUGAAGCUUAGUGCUUGGAUAGUUACCUUCAGCUCUGAAUGACUGUGAAACCUGGUGCCCUUUGCUGAGAGGCUGGUUGUAUCUGAGAGGCAGGUUGUAUCAACUGCUGUUAUACGUGGGCAAAGGUCAGGGAGUUCUACCGUUUCAGAAAUACAAGACCAUUUAGAAAUCAAUAAAUGUGAACUCACAAAGUUUAUUCAAGUAACCCAAAUUCACAAGCUGCAGAAGAAAAUAGAACUCCACUAUGAUCAAGUAGAACUUCAGCUAAUUCUCUGGCUUCCUCCCCAACAAAACAAAAACGUAUACGUUAAAACAUCAUGAAAAUUAGUUCCCUUCUUACUUUCUACCAGAGUAUGGAGUUAGAAUUCAUAUGUCAUAUUGUAAAAAGGAAAAAACAACAACAAAGUCAUGUAAAAACCACCAAACCAAAAAGUCCAAAUAAAGUAAAUUGGGCAUUCUGUGCAUCAAUUUCUUCAUGUAACAAUAUGUUCCUUUUCAAAAGACUCAGGGUUCUUAGCUGAUCAGAAGUAUUCAUAAAACUCUUCCCAAAGCAAUUAAUUGGACUAAUAAUCUGUACUUGGACAGCAUUAUUAAAACACACUAACUGCAAAACCCACAGUGAGAGCUCACUCAUUAUAAGAGUAUGGGGUAGCAAAUUAAGCUGAAUGAAUUACUCUUGGCACUCUUUGUUCCUCUGUGAACAUGUAAGUAAACAAAGUUCAAACUGAGGGGAGAACCUGUCUGAUUUAAGCAAGUGUAUUGGCUAUUUGUGAGACAUCACAGGGAAAAAAUAUCAAGAAAGAAGCUACUGAAGUGUAUGGAACAAAAUAUGACCAAGGUAUAGAUUUUUCUCUAGGUGAAAAGUUCCUUUUAUUCAUAGAAGGAAGGCAACAACUAAAGAUAAAACUGGACUUCUCAAGAAAUGAAUAAUUUACUAUUUUUCGUUAAACAGUAGGUUUCACAGAACAAAGAAAAACAUACACAGUGCAAAGAAUUUCAUCUUGUAGAUAUAGUCUUAAUCUCACUUUCAUGAAUUUAUCUGAAAAUUAGUUCAGUGGGACACAUCUCUGCUAAACUUGUAUGAAAACAACCUUGACAAAGCAAAAAGGAAGGAAGCUCCAGAACAUAAACCAACAACAUUCUUGGGAAAUAUUUUUGUUGGUACACAUGGAAAUGUUUAGGCAUCAGAGAUAAGAUAGUUGCUUUAAAUUCAGAUUCUGCUGUAUUACACCCAUGCAAGUCUGGAUGUUUAAAUUCAACUGUUUUGCUUUUUUGCUUGGCAGAGCCUAAUUGAAACAAUAUUAUUUUUGCCCACAUGAUUGGAAAUAGUUUGUAAAACUCUAAUUUGUAAUACAGGUAUUUCAAAUGCUAGGACCACACAGGUCCAGUUUUAGACAGAGGCUUUUUUGCUACUGAUUUACAGCUGUUUCUUUCUUACAUUUCUCUGUGCUUUGCAGCUUCCAACUCUGAAAUCAGAUCUGCUGGGAAGGGGUGAAGGAAGAGUAGAGAGAGACCAUGCUUUGAUCCCCUGCCUCCUGAAACAUCACAGCUACCUGAAAUCCUUACAUUUUCUGUGAAUUAUUUAAAACAUUUUCUCUAAAAAGUUACAUUUUGAUGUGGAAAUGUUGCUGUAGUGCUUUAUGGCAAUAGUAGAGCAGGUGUCCCAAGGCCCUAUGCUGUAUUCUGUAGCCAGUAUGUCACACCUGCAAUGUUCUGUGACUAAGGACUCCAGCCAUGAAGUGCAGCAGCUCAGCUGCUGGUUUGGUGCAAAUGUCAUCAGAAGAUCUGGACCAAGAGCCUGGCCAGAUAGAAAAAAAAAUAAUUUUUUUAUAUAUAUAUAUAAAAAAUAUGGAAUAUAAAAUCUAUUUUAUAUAUAUAAAUAUGAUUUUUUUUCUAUAAAACCCCAUUAUACUCCUACCUUGAGAUGUUUUGCCGUGAAAGGAGAAGUUCCUUCCCCGCUGCGAUUAGCUGGUUUUUACUGCUACGCAGCAGAGUGCUCAUAGAAGAGUUGGGGAAUGUUUUCUUCUUGCUUCCAAAGACUUUCCUACCCAAGCAAGGCUGCCUCUUGGUUUGUUCAUUAUGUUGCUCACAUUUGACUUUGCUUUCUCACAGGAAGGCUUACUACUGAAUAUGUGAGGUUUAGGAUUUUGCUUGUUUCUGAUUCAUACAUAGUUUUUACUUCAAUAUUUUUCUUUCUUUAUGCUGCCUUUGUCCCAGCCUGUUUUCUGAAUUAGGUAAAUUGCUGGAACUUCUCACACGUUUGAAGAAACUGAAAAUUGUUAUUCACCGCAGGAAAAUAGAAACAGGUCAUGAUGUUCAAUACCUCUCCUUCACUGAGUAACAAGCUUCUGCAGCUUGAACUGAGAGGUUUUGUCAGGGCUAAAUAAUAGAAAUGAAAUCCAAGAAGGCUGUCAGCCCUAUCCCAGUACCCUUGAGAUGCAGAAACUUUCCCCUUUCCCUCUGGCCAUUUUAAGGUCUUUAGAUUGAUGCUUCAGCAUGUGCUAAUGGAAAGCCCUGUUCUUCGUGACUGAUCCAUGUAGAGCAAGCCAAUGGGGUGUACGCUACAGGAGAGGCACCACUCUUACGUUUAUUAGGCAUGAAAAGUAAACUUGAGAGGUUUAUACAAUCCCAGAAUAAGCCUUCCAAAUUAUGUGAAAAAUAGAGAUAUUAAAGAGUAAAGGAGAGAUAGUUUGAUUUAAACUUGGAAGUGCAGAGUUGAAUUUGUUAGAGAGAUUCAUCAUACUUUUACUAAAUAACACAUGGAAAUAAUUUAUUAAGGGCACAUAUAAUAUUUGGAUUUUAAUUUUUAAAUUAUUUUAUUUAUGUUUUAAAUUAUUUAUUAUGCUGCACUCUCAGCAGAUUGUCAAUUCAUUAGUGGAUGCAAUUCUGUCUAAAAAAUUGUGGUUGUUGUUAGUAAAGGUUUUAUAUUUGCAUGCCCAGAUACCCUGCAAGGUAUGUGUUCUCACAUUUACGUACUGUAUGUCUAAGUAUUAUUUAAAUAAAUACUCCCUUAAGCUGCCAGAACAGAGUAAAAGCAGGGAAAAAAUGUCCUUUACAGAUCUCCAGGAUGUUCAAUGUACACAAAAAAUUGGUCUUAUAUGUAUUUACCUUGAUAUUCCAGAUUAAUGAAUGCAUCAAAAUCAGGAGUUGUGUAAUGCAGUUUGCCAGGGGAACAGGAUCUUCGUGCUUCAAAACCAGGUUUGCUCCUGCAUUUUGCAGGCACCACACUGUGUUAUCCUGCUCACAAACAUGUCAAGUGCCACCUUAGGUCUGUUUAGCUCCCACUACUCCUGUUGGAAAACUGUUUCUGGUCAUCACUCUUCUCAUGGCUGGAAACUGCCUUUUAAUUUAUAACCUUAAUGUGUUCAUGAUAAGCGGAUACUCCAUUAUUUGUGUACCAGCAUAUCCUUUAGCUUUAGAAAAGCUUCAUUUUCCUCUCUGUGAUGUCUUUAUGAAGAAUAAUCCUAUCUCAUCUUAGAUUUUAUUUUGCUAGACUAAACAAACCAAAGCAUUCGAUGGAUUAAACAAGCGCUUUUUUUAAAUUUUUUCCAUAGGACAGACAUACACUCAAUUUCUCACUGCCUUGCUCUGUGCUGUUUGUGUCUCAACUUUGGCUUCUAACUGUGGCUAACCACACUAGCAUUUCAGAGGAGGAACUGCUAGAAACUUUACUUAAUAGCAUCAGUGCUUUCCUAACUCCUGACAGCACCUCAUGUCACACAUUGUGGCAUUGCAAUGGCUUUUCCAUGAUAGCAUUGCGUCAGAAGCUUAUGAUCAGUUUGGUUUUAACCACAACUGAAACAAGUACGUUUCUGCAGAUCAGCUGAUAGAGAACAUGUAGGGCUGAGUAUUUUAGUCAAUCUUGUACUUUAAUCUUUUCUCUAGUUAACUGACAUUUUGCAUAGCUGAUUACUUCAAAACACCACUGGUCAUUUAAUGACCUCUAUUUUAAAAUCACAUGCACACACAAAGGGAAUUUCCGGUAAAUGUUGGGUUUAGACUUGAGAACUUAAAUGCAAAACCACCACCAAAACGUUCAAGGUUAUUGGUACCAAGUGAGACCAAUGGGCCUGCAGUACUUUCUUUAUCAAAUACCUAUUUAAGGGUAUGUAUAUGUUUCUUUAGGAAAAAAAAUAUAGUACUUGUAGGGAAAAUGUUUGAUGGUUUGUGGUUGGUUGGUUGUUGGUUUUUUUUCAGAUUUACAUUCUCAGCCUCAGAGUUCAUGAAACAAAAGUGACUAGUUUGGCUUACUGGAAAUAAUUCUGGAUCAAGUUAAGAAUUUUAUGCAGAAUGAAAGAUGAGAGAAUGAUCUUCUCAUCAACUUUCUCCUUCAUUACAUUCUAAGAUGUGACCAACCCUAACAUCCAAAAUAGUUAGAACUGUGAUCUUUCUAACUGUUAUAUUUCACUAAAUUCUGAUGGCAUGAGUGGUGGGUGGUUGGGAGGUGAUCACUUUGUUACAAGGAGGAUUUGUCACAUUUUACAGGGAAGUCGCUUGGAAGAAAAACCAUUUCUUUUGAACCAUUUUGUAGCACUUUUUCUUUGAAGCUCAUUCUUAUCUCUUUGAGCCGCAAAAGGAAGGAAAUACCUGCUUGCUCAUUCUUCUCACAUGCCUAUUAGGUAAGCAAAUCCUGGUUUAGUCAUUGCAUUCCACUGCAGAUGCAGAGGAAUAUGUGGUGGAGCUGUUCAGUGAGAUGCCUGUUUUACUGCUGCUUCUUCUCUGGGACCAAAGAACCACAGAAAAUACUGGGAAGACAGAUUGGAAGUCAGAGGCAUCCCAGACCUACUAACAGCAGCAAAAUGAAAACUGGAGAGCUGGAAUGAUAAUAAAAUGACUGAGUUGGUAAAAACUCAACUGACGGAGCUCUCAUGUGGAACAUAUUGUGUCUACAAUGUUACAGGUCAUUUCCUUUGCCUUUCUCUAUAAACAUGUUUUUCAAAUUGGUUUCAAGUUGGUCCAGCUGCUUCAAGCACAGUAUAUUGAAAGCAUAUUAAUAUGACAGAUAACUAGCAGCUGUUGUUGGAAAAUUGACAAAGCAAAGGGUAGAUGUUGCUUCGGAGGAUGAACGUGUGCUUUCAGGCAAAACAUCUUCCUCGAUAUUUUGCUUCUCUAUGAGUUUUUCAUUGCAAAGGCUGGGCCAGUGACACAAAGAAGUCACAUUCUUUCCAGACAUAGCUCUAGCAAACAUAGCCAUGCCUUACAAGAAACAGAUAUGCUGAUGGAUUCAUUGUUCAAGGCACUGAAUGACAGAGAAAAGGUGUUCUUAAUCUCUCUGCAAUUGCUUUCUCUGUUAAAGAAGAUACUGUCAUCUGUUAACCCUGCCUCUGAUUUAUUCCUGUCCAUAGAAGUAUUUCUGUAUUGAAGAUCUGGCGAUAGUGUACGUAGCAAUACACAUGCUCCUGAUGAAAGCCAGUGUUCCAGAGGUGAUCGAAUCCAUUUAGCCAUGGCCUACCUCCUAUCUUUUCAAUUCAGACUUUGUUUUAAUUUUUUUUUUCUUCCACAAAUACAGUUUGGUUAAAACACAGGAAAGCUACACUUUUCAUGACUAAAUGAAAUAGCAUUUUCUUUCUAACCAUGGGGUUUUUUUUGUUUCUUGUCUAAAACACUGCAUGCUUGGCCUGAGAAGGAGAGGAAAACACCCAAUCUACUUAACUUGCAACACUACAUUCUUAUUUUGUAUUUAAAUCUAUCAAGACACAUACUGCUUCAAGUUUAUUGCUGUUAUGAUCCUACAAGUUUCACACAAUUCAUAUUGCCUGUAGCUGUCAAAUACUGUACAGGUUCCUUAAUAAGAGAGAAUAAACAUACACAUACUUUGAUCUACUUCACUGCUUCAAAGUUUAAAAUGCGCUCUGAGAGCUUUUCAUGGGAUUUCAAAAAAUAGUUAUCGAGAGGAGUAAUUAUGAAAGUAGUAAUUUUCUCACUGAUGUUAUUUUUCUAUAAUUGAGAGUUAGAUGGUAAGAGCAUUAUGUUUCUUUAUAUUUUUUCCCCACAGUGUAAUAUACAAGGACUUUUGAUUUAUAUACUUUUUCUUUUAUAAUUCACUCUGCCCUAAGGAACUGCAGUCAGGCAGAAGGCUAGGAGAUUGGAAGAAUGCAGACAAACUGUGGAAGCAUAUAUAAGCAACCUGACAAGCACAAAGCAUUUAAAAAAAAAUAUCUGCAUUUCCAAUAAACUUGCUUCAGGAGUUCUAGGCCACAUGGUUAGAGAAAGAUUGCCUUGUGUAGGCUGUUUCUGCCCAUUCAGAAAUUGUGCUGACCUUCAUUCCUUUCAUAAUUUUCUAGCAUUCCAGCAGCAAUUACUUACAUGGAAAAAGGGUUUAAUGUAUGUCAUACUUCUUUUAAUGCAGUUUAGCAUCUGGAAACUUGGAAGAAACCGUCUGCUUCCUAGGGACCACAUUUUGAGAAGUGCUGACUUAGGCCACAAUCCUGUGCAGUCACAAGGAUGCAACUGUACAGAGCUCUUUGUGGAUCAUUGCAGGGGGCUAUAUAAUGUUACAAGUUGAUUUUUUUUAAGUUGCAUUAAUGCUAUUUCAGAUACUUACUUGCUUUUUUUUUUCCAUUUGUCCCAAAUUGAACAUUAAUAAAAUAGCUGUUUAAGUUUUAUGCUCUUUUUAGGAAAAAAUGUAAUCAUGUUGUUAUGAAGUAGCCCAGUGCUGAGAAAAAAAGAAAA